This 410-nucleotide ribosomal RNA is filed under the name uncultured bacterium. Its description in RNAcentral is "bacterial SSU rRNA". It matches the Rfam family "Bacterial small subunit ribosomal RNA", at positions 362 to 770 of the family's 1533-position model. The record is from RNAcentral.
UAUUGGUCAAUGGGCGCGAGCCUGAACCAGCCAAGUCGCGUGAGGGAAGACGGUCCUAUGGAUUGUAAACCUCUUUUGUCAGGGAACAAAGGCGGGGACUAGUCCCCGGAUGAGGGUACCUGAAGAAAAAGCAUCGGCUAACUCCGUGCCAGCAGCCGCGGUAAUACGGAGGAUGCGAGCGUUAUCCGGAUUUAUUGGGUUUAAAGGGUGCGCAGGCGGCCUGUUAAGUCAGCGGUAAAAGCCCGGGGCUCAACCCCGGCGAGCCGUUGAAACUGGCGGGCUGGAGUUGGAGAGAAGUACGCGGAAUGCGCGGUGUAGCGGUGAAAUGCUUAGAUAUCGCGCAGAACCCCGAUUGCGAAGGCAGCGUACCGGCUCCACACUGACGCUGAGGCACGAAAGCGUGGGUAUCG